GACGAACGCUGGCGGCGUGCCUAAUACAUGCAAGUAGAACGCUGAAGAGAGGAGCUUGCUCUUCUUGGAUGAGUUGCGAACGGGUGAGUAACGCGUAGGUAACCUGCCUUGUAGCGGGGGAUAACUAUUGGAAACGAUAGCUAAUACCGCAUAACAAUGGAUGACACAUGUCAUUUAUUUGAAAGGGGCAAUUUCUCCACUACAAGAUGGGCCUGCGUUGUAUUAGCUAGUAGGUGAGGUAAUGGCUCACCUAGGCGACGAUACAUAGCCGACCUGAGAGGGUGAUCGGCCACGCUGGGACUGAGACACGGCCCAGACUCCUGCGGGAGGCAGCAGUAGGGAAUCUUCGGCAAUGGGGGCAACCCUGACCGAGCAACGCCGCGUGAGUGAAGAAGGUUUUCGGAUCGUAAAGCUCUGUUGUAAGUCAAGAACGGGUGUGAGAGUGGAAAGUUCACACUGUGACGGUAGCUUACCAGAAAGGGACGGCUAACUACGUG
RNAcentral lists this ribosomal RNA (497 nucleotides) under uncultured bacterium. RNAcentral's name for it is "partial 16S ribosomal RNA". It matches the Rfam family "Bacterial small subunit ribosomal RNA", at positions 28 to 507 of the family's 1533-position model. The record is from RNAcentral.